Molecule: ribosomal RNA, 497 nt
Filed under: uncultured bacterium
Lineage: Bacteria
Description: partial 16S ribosomal RNA
Rfam family: Bacterial small subunit ribosomal RNA
Source: RNAcentral
GAUGAACGCUGGCGGCGUGCCUAAUACAUGCAAGUCGAGCGAACGGACGAGAAGCUUUCUUCUCUGAUGUUAGCGGCGGACGGGUGAGUAACACGUGGAUAACCUACCUAUAAGACUGGGAUAACUUCUUUAAACCGUAGCUAAUACCGGAUAAUAUUUUGAACCGCAUGGUUCAAAAGUGAAAGACUGUCUUGCUGUCACUUAUAGAUGGAUCCGCGCUGCAUUAGCUAUUUGGUAAGGUAACGGCUUACCAAGGCAACGAUGCAUAGCCGACCUGAGAGGAUGAUCAGCCACAAAGGAACAGAGACACGGCCCAAAAUCCUAAGGGAGGCAGCAGUAGGGAAUCUUCAGGAAUGAGCGGAAGCCUGACGGAGCAACGCCGCGUGCGGGAAGAAGGACUUCGGAUUGUAAAACUCUGUUAAAAGGGAAGAACAUCUGUGUAAAUAACUGUGAACAACGUUACGGUACAAGAACACGAAGUCACGGAUAACUACGUG